Molecule: small nucleolar RNA, 139 nt
Organism: Phragmites australis (common reed)
Lineage: Eukaryota; Viridiplantae; Streptophyta; Magnoliopsida; Poales; Poaceae
Product: small nucleolar RNA Z247
Exons: 1
Source: RefSeq, a predicted model, not a curated record
CUAUUAGAUGAUGAGGAGUUGAUCUCGUACAUCCUCACCGGCCUUGAUGUUGAUUACAAUUCAAUCAUGUCUGCUAUCGUUGCGUGAGUGGAACCAGUGUCAGUCAACGAGUUGUACGCUUAGCUUCUGAGCUUCAAAA